Molecule: long non-coding RNA, 733 nt
Organism: Lolium rigidum
Lineage: Eukaryota; Viridiplantae; Streptophyta; Magnoliopsida; Poales; Poaceae
Exons: 3
Source: RefSeq, a predicted model, not a curated record
UACACACGGACAAUAUAUUCUUUUUUUGAAGAAGAAUUCCAGAGGCAGUUUACUUUGUCAUGCACUCUGCUGUUGAGUGAAACUACAACUAACACUUACAAAGUUACAUCUUUUUUCCGUGAGGAUAAAGAAGCCAUAGUGGUUUUUUAUCCAACAACAUUGGAUAUAUCUUGUUCAUGCAAGUUGUAUGGAUGUGUAGGUAUCCUAUGCAAGCAUGCUCACAAAGUGUUCACUUCUUGCAAUAUUAUCACCUUGCCAAGCCAAUACAUACUGAACAGAUGGACAAAAUAUGCAAAGCAAGAUAUCUUUAGUUCUAAGCCAAGAGGAAAUGAAAGCUUAGAAUUCCUCUUUGCACAUGUAUCUCGAAAGAUGAUAUCUCUUGCACUGAAGUGUAAACCCUCAAAGGAGGUUCUUCGACACCUAGACGAGGGUAUUGAUAAGUUCGCUUCUGAAGCAUGUGACUUACUUAGUAAGGUGAGCUUGGAGGAUAAUGAGGACGUAGAAUGUGACGCCGAAUUUAAUGAAGAUGCUGCCAAUACAGUGGUGUCAAUUCAAGCUCCUGUACGUUAAAAAGGUCCAUGAAAGAAGCGAUCAAAAGAUCCACUUGAGGGACCAAAGAAAGGAAAAGCUAAGGGUGGAAAAAAGAAAGGGGAAGGUACAGGAAAUACAACACUGUCACAUACAAUGAAAUUGCCAACACAUGUAGCUGGACCUUCAUAAUUUAUACAUUCGG